RNAcentral lists this ribosomal RNA (478 nucleotides) under uncultured bacterium. Its description in RNAcentral is "bacterial SSU rRNA". It matches the Rfam family "Bacterial small subunit ribosomal RNA", at positions 325 to 793 of the family's 1533-position model. The record is from RNAcentral.
CACUGUCACUCCUACGGGGAGGCAGCAGUGGGGGAAUAUUGCACAAUGGGCGCAAGCCUGAUGCAGCCAUGCCGCGUGUGUGAAGAAGGCCUUCGGGUUGUAAAGCACUUUCAGUCGUGAGGAAGGUGGUGUAGUUAAUAGCUGCAUCAUUUGACGUUAGCGACAGAAGAAAGCACCGGCUAACUCCGUGCCAGCAGCCGCGGUAAUACGGAGGGUGCGAGCGUUAAUCGGAAUUACUGGGCGUAAAGCGCAUGCAGGUGGUUUGUUAAGUCAGAUGUGAAAGACCCGGGGCUCAACCUCGGAAUAGCAUUUGAAACUGGCAGACUAGAGUACUGUAGAGGGGGGUAGGAAUUUCAGGUGUAGCGGUGAAAUGCGUAGAGAUCUGAAGGAAUACCGGUGGCGAAGGCGGCCCCCUGGACAGAUACUGACACUCAGAUGCGAAAGCGUGGGGAGCAAACAGGAUUAGAUACCCUGGUAG